GAGGGUAUAGCUCAGUGGUAGAGCACAUGCUUAGCAUGCACAAGGUCCUAGGUUCAAUCCCCAGUAUCUCCA
This 72-nucleotide transfer RNA is filed under the name Camelus bactrianus (Bactrian camel). It matches the Rfam family "tRNA". Rfam says of the family: Transfer RNA (tRNA) molecules are approximately 80 nucleotides in length. Lineage: Eukaryota; Metazoa; Chordata; Mammalia; Artiodactyla; Camelidae. The record is from Rfam by way of RNAcentral. RNAcentral also lists the same sequence under 3 other names.